AGGCCACGAGCGCAUUAGACUCCGAAUCCGAAAGAAUCGUCCAAGAUGCUCUCGACAAUGCCGCCGUCGGCCGCACUACCAUCAUCAUCGCUCACCGGCUCUCCACCAUCCGCAACGCCGACCUCAUCGCCGUCGUCCAGUCCGGCCAAGUCAUGGAAACCGGUUCCCAUCACGACCUCAUGCAGCAACCAAACGGCCUCUACACUACCCUCGUCCGCUUACAGAAUCAAACCCUUAACGAACCUGACCAGCCCAUUAAUCCUUCGUCUAUAACAAACACAGACGCAAACAAUACCAGCA
Molecule: long non-coding RNA, 300 nt
Filed under: Carica papaya (papaya)
Lineage: Eukaryota; Viridiplantae; Streptophyta; Magnoliopsida; Brassicales; Caricaceae
Description: long non-coding RNA (CPAP_LNC011639)
Source: RNAcentral